GUGCAAGUAUGUUGGCUUGAGAAGCAUCAGAACUAAAGGUUGAAUAUAAGCAAUGCCCAUGACUUCAGUCCUAGCAUGUCGCAUGCCACAGCUUCUGCCACCUCAGUAUCUUCAACUUGUUGGAGUACUGGCCAACCUCAUGGAACCACAGCAUGGUUCUUCCAUCCCACCCUUUUCUUCUCAAGGAAACACACAUCAGUAUUCUUCAUAUGGUGGUGGAUACCAGAGUGGUAGUACAACAAAAAAGAUUGAUAUCCCAAAUGGAAGAAAUCAUUAUCUUUUGAAAGAUUCAAGGACGUUCGAGGAGUGACUAGUACCAUUGAAGACUUUGCUGAGCGAGGCAAGAAACCUACUUUGAUCAUGUUGAACCCAUAUUUGCAUUACACUUAGAAUUAUUUUUCAUGCAUAAAGUAUUGUUUACUAGUAUUGCUAUUAAGUAAAUUAGCUAGGGUUUAGCUAUGCCCUAUGUGCUUGAUAUUGACACCCCUUUGACAUUCUUAUGCUUAGUAAAUUAGCUAGGGUUUCGCUAUGCUCUAUGUGCUUGAUAUUGACACCCUCCUUUGAUAAUACCGUUCCUUCACCAUGUAGUGGUCACAAAUAAAUGUGGGUCAUAUGUGCAAUUUAAUAGUAUUGCUUAGCCAUGCUAGUCGCAUAAAUCAUAGGACUUGGGAAGAAUUUUUGUUACUCAUAAAUGUUUUACAAAAACCUAAGGGUGUCACUAAUGCCCAUGGUAUGAUUCUGAAAAUAAGGUUAUAUAAAAUGGAGAUGAAGUGGAGAUUUAGUUAGGUGAUUGUGACUUUGACGAGAUAGUCAAAGAUGUUUGGUGGAUUAUAAAUUCUUUAUGUAUAGUAAAUGAGCAUGGUGGUUAUUGUAUUGGCGGAUAAAUGGAUCUUCAAUAAACUUGAAGCAAUUUGGAUUUAGUUAGGCGAUUGUAAUCUUGAACCAAAUUUCAUGGUGGAUUAUAAGCUUUCGAUGCAUUUAUUUAGUUCGUUGUGAUCUUGAGGAGAUAGUCAAAGAUGUUUGGUGCAUUAAUUAAUCUUGGACAAUUUGGAUUUAGUUAGGUGGUUGUGAUAUUGAACCGUAUUUCAUGAUGAAUUAUGAGAUUUUAGGUGGAUUUAGUUACGUGAUUUAAUCUUGAGAAGAUAGUCUAAAUUGUUCGGUUGAUUAUGAGAUUUUAGGUAUGGUAGAUGAGCAUGAUGAUUAUUAUACUGGUGGAUAAAUAGAUCUUUAAUUUUGUUUGGACCAUUUAGGAUUUAGUUAGGUGGUUUAGAUCUUAAACCAAAUUUCACGGUGGAUUAUGAGGUUUUGGUUGAAUUUAGUUAGGUGAUUGUGAUCUUGACGAGCUAGUAAAAGAUGUUUGGUGGAUUAUGUGAAUUUAGGUCUAGUAGGUGAGCAUGGUGGUUAUUAUAUCGGUGAAUAAGUAAUUUUUUAACAAACUUAAGAAAUUUUGGAUUUAGUUAGGCGAUUGUGAUCAUGAACUAAAUUUCAUGGUGAAUUACGAUAUUUUAGAUGGAUUUAGUCAGUUGAUUGUGAUCUAGAAGAGAUACUCGAAGAUGUUCGAUGGAUUAAUUAUCCUUUAAUAAUUUGAAUUACGUUUGGCUAUUGUGAUUGAACUGAAUUUCACGAUGAUUUAUGUGAUUUUAGGUGGAUUUAAAUAUGUUAUUAUGAUCUUGAGAAGAUGUCAAAGAUGUUUGGUGGAUUUUAAGAUUUUAGGUCUAGUAUGUGAGCAUGGGGACUUAUAUUGGUGGAUGAAUAGACCUCUAAUUUAGCUUGAAACAAUUUGAAUUUAAUUAGAUGAUUAUGGCCUUUUAACCAAAUUCAUGGUGGAUUUUGAUGUUUAGGUUGGAUUUAGUUAGGUGAUUGUGAUCUUGACGAGAUAGUCAAAGAUGCUCGAUGGGUUAUGUCAGAAUUUAUGCCUAGUCUAGUAAAUGAGCAUGGUGGUUAUUAUAUUGGUGGAUAAAUGGAUUUUUAGUAAACUUGGAGUAAUUUGGAUUUUGUUAGGCGAUUGUGAUCUUGAACCAAAUUUCAUGGUGAAUUAUGAGAUUUUAAAUGAAUUUAAUUAGCUGAUUGAGAUCUUGAGGAGAUAGUCCAAGAUGUUCGGUGGAUUAAUUAAUAUUUUUUUGAACACAGUACAAGCGCAAGUGCUAUAUACACGUGCACACACUUGCCUCUAUGAACGCACACAUGCACACCCUACACCUAUGAGCAUCCCCGAGAGACUAAGCCGGCUUAUCAUCUUGAGAUUUUAUGAAGUCACCGUAGGCGCCUCGUAGUCGACGGGAACAAUUUGGAUUUAGUUCGGUGAGUGUGAUAUUGAACUAAAUUUCUCGGUGAUUUAUUUGAUUUUAGGUGGAUUUAGUUAGGUGUUGAGUCUUGAAAAGAUAGUCAAAAUGUUCGGUGGAUUAUGAGAUUUUAGGUAUGGUAAAUGAGCAAGGUGAUUAUUAUAUUAGUAGAUAAACAAAUAUUUAAUUUAGUUUGGAUCAAUUUGGAUUUAGGUAGGGAUUGUGAUCUUUUAACCUAAUUUUACAAUGGAUUAUGAGGUUUUGGUUGGAUUUAGUUAGGUGCUUGUGAUCUUGACAACGUAGUUAAAGAGUUCGAUGGAUUAAUAUGUCUAGUAAGCGAGCAUGGUGGCUAUUACAUUGGUGGAUAAAUGGAUCUUUAAUAAGCUUGAAGAUAUUUGAAUUUAGUUAGGCGAUUGUGAUCUUGAACCAAAUUUUAUGGUGGAUUAUGAGAUUUUAGCUAGAUUUGAUUAGUUGAUUGCGAUUUUGAGGAGAUAGUAAAAGAUGUUUGGUGGAUUAAUUAAUCUUGAACAAUUUGGAUUUAGUUAGGUGAUUGUGAUAUUGAACCAAAUUUCUCGGUGAUUUAUGAGAUUUUAGUUGAAGGGGAGCCUUGGCGCAGUGGUAAAGCUGCUGCCUUGUGACCAUGAGGUCACGGGUUCAAGUCCUGAAAACAGCCUCUUACAGAAAUGUAGGGAAAGGCUGCGUACAAUAGACCCAAAGUGGUCGGACCCUUCCCCAUACCCUGCGUGCGCAGGAGCUACAUGCACUGGGGCUGCCCUUUUAUGAGAUUUUAGCUGGAUUUAGUUAGGUGAUUGUGUCUUCAAAAGAUAGUCAAGGACGUUCGGUGAUUAUGAUAUUUUAGGUGUAGUAGACGAGCAUGAUAAUUAUUAUAUUGGUGGAUAAACAGAUAUUUAAUAUAGUUUGGAACAAUUUGGAUUUAGUAUGGUGAUUGUGAUUUUUAACCAAAUCUUAGGGUGGAUUAUGAGGUUUUGAUUAGAUUUAGUUAGGUGAUUGGGAUCUUGACGUGCUAGUAAAAGAUGUUCGGUAGAUUAUGUGAAUUUAGGUCUAAUAGGUGAGCAUCUUGAUUAUUAUAUUGGUGGAUAAAUAAUUUUUUUAUAAACUUGGAAAAAUUUGGAUUUAGUUAGGCAAUCGUGAUCUUGAACCAAUUUUAUGGUGGAUUAUGAGAUUUUUGAUGAAUUAGUUAGUUGAUUGUGAUCUUGAGGAGAUAGUCAAAGAUAUUCGAUGUAUUAAUUAACUUGAACAAUUUGGAUUUAGUUAGGUGAUUCUGAUAUUGUCGAACAAGUGAUGUCGACACCGAUGACUUCCCGAUUAAGAUAGGACUGCAUCAGGGGUCAGCUUUGAGCCCUUAUCUUUUUGCAUUGGUGAUGGAUGAGGUCACAAGGGGUAUACAAGGAGAUAUCCCAUGGUGUAUGCUCUUUGCGGAUGAUGUGGUGCUAGUUGACGAUAGUCGGACGGGGGUAAAUAGGAAGUUAGAGUUAUGGAGACAAACCUUGGAAUCGAAAGGGUUUAGGCUUAGUAGAACUAAAACCGAGUACAUGAUGUGCGGUUUCAGUACUACUAGCUGUGAGGAGGAGGAGGUUAGCCUUGAUGGCCAGGUGGUACCUCGGAAGGACACCUUUCGGUAUUUGGGGUCAAUGUUGCAGGAGGAUGGGGGUAUUGAUGAAGAUGUGAACCAUCGAAUCAAAGCCGGAUGGAUGAAGUGGCGCCAAGCUUCUGGCAUUCUCUGUGACAAGAGAGUGCCACAAAAGCUAAAAGACAAGUUCUACAGGACGGCGGUUCGACCCGCAAUGUUGUAUGGCGCGGAGUGUUGGCCGACUAAAAGGCGACAUGUUCAACAGUUAGGUGUGGCGGAGAUGCGUAUGUUGAGAUGGAUGUGUGGCCACACGAGGAAGGAUCGAGUCCGGAAUGAUGAUAUACGAGAUAGAGUUGGGGUAGCACCAAUUGAGGAGAAGCUUGUCCAACAUCGUUUGAGAUGGUUUGGGCAUAUUCAGCGCAGGCCUCCAGAAGCUCCAGUGCAUAGCGGACGGCUAAAGCGUGCGGAGAAUGUCAAGAGAGGGCGGGGUCGACCGAUUUUGACAUGGGAGGAGUCCGUUAAGAGAGAUCUGAAGGAUUGGAGUAUCGACAAAGAGCUAGCUAUGGACAGGGGUGCGUGGAAGCUUGCUAUCCAUGUGCCAGAGCCAUGAGUUGGUUGCGAGAUCUUGUGGGUUUCACCUCUAGCCUACCCCAACUUGUUUGGGACUAAAGGCUUUGUUGUUGUUGUUGUUGUUGUUUAGGUGAUUCUGAUAUUGAACUAAAUUUCUCUGUGAUCUAUGAGGUUUUAGUUGGAUUUAGUUAGGUGAUUGUGUCUUCAGAAGAUAAUCAAAGAUGUUUGAUGGGUUAUGAGAUUAUAGGUCUAAUAAAUGAGCAUGGUGAUUAUUAUAUAGUUAGGUGAAUGUGAUUUGAUGAGCUAGUAAAAGAUGCUCGGUGAAUUAUUGUGAAUUUAGGUCUAGUAGGUGAGCAUGUUGAUUAUUAUAUUGAUGGAUAAAUAAAUCUUUAAUAAAUUUAAAACAAUUUGGAUUUAGUUAGACGAUUGUGACCUUGAACCAAAUUUCAUGGUGGAUUAUGAGAUUUUUGAUGGAUUAGUUAGUUGAUUGUGAUCUUCAAGAGAUAGUCAAAGAUGUUUUGUGGAUUAAUUAAUCUUGAACAACUUGGAUUUAGUUAAGUGGUUGCGAUACUGAACCGAAUUUCACGCUGGAUUAUGAGAUUGUAGGUGGAUUUAGUUAGGUGAUUGUGUCUUGAGAAUAUUGUCAUAGAUGUUUGCUAGUCUAUGAGAUUUUAGGUUUAGUAGAUGGGAAUGGUGAUUAUUAUAUUGGUAGAUAAACAAAUCUUUAUUUUAGUUUGGAACAAUUUUGACUCAGUUAGGUGAUUGUUAUGUUUAAACCAAAUUUACAGUGGAUUUUGAGAUUUUUUUGGAUUUAGUUAGGCGAUUGUGAUGUAGUACAAAUUUCAUGGUGGAGAUUUGCAAUGGAUUUAGUUGAUUGUGAUCUUGAGAAGAUAGUCAGAGAUGUUCGGUGGAUAAAUUAAUCUUGAACAAUUUGAAUAUAUUUAGGUGAUUGUGAUAUUGAACCAAAUUUCUCUUAUGAUUUAUGGGAUUUUAGUUGGAUUUAAUUAGGUGAUUGUGUCUUGAGAUGAUAAUCAAAUAUGUUUGGUGGAUUAUGAGAUUUUAGGUCUAGUGGAUGAGCAUGGUGAUUACUAUAUUGGUGGAUAAGCAUAUAUUUAAUUUAGUUUGGAGCAAUUUGGAUUUAGUCAGGUGAUUGGGUUCUUGACGAGCUAGUAAAAGAUGUUCGGUGGAUUAUGCGAAUUUAGGUCUAGUAGGUGAGCAUGUUGGUUAUUAUAUUGGUGGAUAAUUUUUUUUUAAUAAACUUGGAAAAGUUUGGAUUUAGUUAGGCGAUUGUGAUCUUGAACCAAAUUUUAUGGUGGAUUAUGAGAAUUUUGAUGGAUUAGUUAGUUGAUUGUAAUCUUGAGGAGAUAGUCAAAGAUAUUCGGUGUAUUAAUUAAUCUUGGACAAUUUGCAUUUAGUUAGGUGAUUGUGAUAUUGUACAAAAUUUCUUCGUGAUUUAUGAGAUUUUAGUUGUGUUUAUUUAGAUGAUUGUGUUUUGAGAAGAUAGUCAAAGAUGUUUGGUGGAUUAUGAGAUUUUAGGUCUAAUAGAUGCGCAUGGUGAUUGUUAUAUUGGUGGAUAAAUGAAUCUUUAAUAAAUUUGGAAUAAUUUGGAUUUAGUUAUCCGACUGUGAUCUUGAAUCAAAUUUUAUGGUGGAUUAUGAGAUACUCCACGCAUCUCCUGCGCCCCGCAACCCUCUCCUUCCCAGCACAGCAGGAGCAGGAGCAAGGAUGCCGAGGCGGUUCAGUCGCGAGGAAGAGUAGGAAGAUCAGGCAGAGAGGGUUUCACACACCUCUUCUACACUGACAACUCUUUGCUUUCCAGGAUUGCCAUGGGAGCUUUGGAUGGUGGUCUUGAUCUUCCGCACAGUGACAAGAGAUUUGCUGGCUUCAAGAAGGAUAAGCAGCUGGGCGCUGAGAUUCACCUCAAAUACAUCUAUGAAGGUCAUGUUGCUGACUACAUGAAGUCAAUAGCUGAUGAGGAACCUAAGAAGUACCAAUCUCACUUCAGUGAGUACAUCAAGAAGAACUGAAGAAGAUCAAGGGUUACAGAUGCCAGUGCCACAAGGCUUGCCUAACAAAGGUUCCCAGAAAAGGAAUGGUUUGACAAAAAAAGGCUUUGCUCUCCAGGUGCAGAACACUUUCCCCCUCCCCAUCGAUGACGAUCUUCCUGUUUCUUUAUGGUCUACUUUACAAGAGAAAACAUUUCUCUGGAAGGAGCUGCAAGGAGUUCUUCACAUGGCAAACAUAGAUGAAGGAAUGAUGUAUGCCUUCACCUUCAGACGCAAGGUAUUGCGAGCUAAUCCUACCCCCUCCCCACAGUUUCUGGAAAACGUGGGAUCCAUUACCAGCAGUAUCAAGAUCGGGGGCGAGGGCCGAGCAGUUUCGGCGGCGAGCGGGCGAUUUCGCGUUGGGCGCCCUCGUCGGCAUUGGCUUUCAGCCAUGGAGGAAUCGACGCCUCAGCUUCACGAUGAAACGUUACAGCGUCUCCACCGCCACCGCUUCUGCCCUGAGGUUAUUUGGCGGUGGGCAGCAGCGUGUGAAAUCUACUGCAGAGGAGUUGGGCAUUUUCCUACCGGUGGAAGACCUGCAUCCAGCCCCACAAGUCCUUUACUAGCCCUCCUUGCCGCAGUUCCAUCCUCUACCGUCAGGCCAGGCUGCAUUUUGGCAUGGUUUUUUACUCCAACCGACUCAAGUCUGCUCAGAACACAAACCACAUGAUGUGUCGAGGUAUCCUUGUCUUCUGGCUCCUUGCGAUGCCACUGGUGUACGGCGACGGAGCCUUGGCUGGUGACUGCUGCCACGGGACCUUGAAACUGGACCUAAGCAGUGUGUUCCAGGGUGGUGGUGACAUAGAGGAUGAGCGCAGUGGCCCUAAAGCCGGGUGCAGUCUGUGAAUGAAGAUAUGUCAAAUGACACUACAUCUCUUGAAGCUAUCCGAUAAAUGGAGAACGUAGGCCAUAGCCAAAACUGAAGUUAGUGACCUCAAUUGCUGUCACAUGAAGAAACUUAGAGCAGGAAAAUGUAUAUGUAAGAAUCAACUUGGGGUGGCAAACAUACCAGCCGGAAACAUUUUAAGGGCUGGUUCGUUGCAGCAAGGUAUGCAACAUUAUAAUGCUAAGCUACUCACUUGGACAAUGAGAUCAUGAAUUCAACUCUUAUGAAAAUUGAAGAACUGACAGAUUCUUGUACAAUCUCGAUGCGGAUACAUUUAACAUGAGAGAUGAAACAACUCUGAAUCCAAAGAGCAAUGGAAGUCAAAAUCAGCAACUAGCUGUGGCCUGUAGCUUGUUCACCGCCAUCAGACAAUCUGAAGCCAGAAUCAUCACUCGUCGAUAGCCUUCCGACACAGCAAAAUGCAGACCUUUGGUCAAAGCCGCUAUUGCUUCAGCCAGUUCUUGGAUGCUGACCCCUAGUCUGAACAACGCGAGCCAGGACAUCACACCCCCACGCCCAUCAUUUGAUCAUUCAAUGAAGUACUGCAGCAUCAGCAUUCUUGGCACUAUCGAUGAUGGCUCACACCUGGAGGUAGACACCGGGGAAACAAGACGCUGUUGGAUCAUAUCAAUAUAAGCCUCCUGAUCUUAUGCACAACCCUUUGUAGUACAGGACCACUUUUGCUUUUUCGAGCCUCAUUGGGUGCGUCCCCUGGGAAUUGAUAUGUAACAACAAUAGUAAUGGAUGUUUCUUUUAUUUGACUAGAGUUGUUUUGACAGUAAUUAUAUGCUUUGGAUUAUGCGG
This 8178-nucleotide ribosomal RNA is filed under the name Triticum aestivum (bread wheat). RNAcentral's name for it is "partial small subunit ribosomal RNA". Lineage: Eukaryota; Viridiplantae; Streptophyta; Magnoliopsida; Poales; Poaceae. The record is from RNAcentral.